This 1698-nucleotide long non-coding RNA is filed under the name Mus musculus (house mouse). RNAcentral describes it as "predicted gene, 50196". The record is from RNAcentral. Lineage: Eukaryota; Metazoa; Chordata; Mammalia; Rodentia; Muridae.
ACCAUUCUGAGAGCAGAGUGCUGGGGUAACAGUACUGUUACAGGAAGCGAGCGAGCGAGCGAGCUAGCUAGCGAGCAAGCGCACAAUAACCAGGACUGCAGAGAUUCCACGUGGACUUGUCACCAGUGACCCUCACUGCCCUGCGUUCUGUCACAGCAUGUAACUGUCACACAGUAAAUAGAUCACCGAGGACCCCUCCUGUUGGCUGUGCUGGGGAAUGAAUGCUAGAUAAGCACUCACAGGCACCUAUCCAUCCCCAGCCCUCUUCCCUAUGGGUGAGUAACCUGAGUUCCUUUCCUCGAUUCUGGCUUGUGGAUCCAAGGACCACUUUUUAGCAUCACUUUAAACCUUGAGUGGAGGUGAAAGAGGAUGAGGAGACAGCUUGUCAAUUUUCCCUUUUCUGAUUUUUCUCAUGCACCACAUGGUUUUUGUUUUGUUUUGUUUUUUUUGUUUUUUGUCUUGUUUUGCUUUGUUUUGUUUUAAAUUAUCAUUGGCUGGUGGCUGCUACCUCUGGAGAACGAUGUCAGCUGUCCUCCCAAGCUGCUGCAUGGCUUUCAGGCUGCCCAAAGCUUACAGUGGUAGGAGGACCAUCUCCUUCCCUAACACACAGAACAGAAUACACAGGCGUUCUGCAGGAAAAUGACACAGACAGCUCCAACAGCAAAGAACAGGAAUCUGCUCUGCUCCACAGGCAGAGGAAAAAGAGAAUGAAAGCCACUCAUAAAGGCAGCUUUUUAAGUGUGAGGAUGGAGUCACACAGCUGGCGUCACAAAAGAGAACAAAUAUUGAAUAGGAAACAACUGACAGAUCGAUCAAUAGAGUUCCAUUCACCUGGCUGCAGAGAGCUGCUGGAGGGAGAACUGAGAAGGCUCUGUUAAAAAAAAAGCUUGCCUGCUGCCUCACUGGGUGAACUGAAUACCUUUCAAGAACAUUGGAACACAUGGUCACAAAAUAGCUGCUAGCUGGUCCUGUCAGUUAAGAAACUCAGAAGUGCUACAAGGAUGCACUGGCAAGAAAAGGAGACCAGAAAAUACAAGGUUUGGAAUUUAUUCCUUGGCUUUUCCAACUUAGAAGGAUGAAAUGCAAAAAAGGAGAUUCAGGCCUGCUGCACAGAUGGAAACACAUGUCUAGUACUGCAAAUCUGGCCUAGAACCGAAGGUUGAAAAGCUCAGAGGUCCCAGGAAUGAACCUACUACUACUGUCCAGCUCAAUGAAUUUAAUGUCAAACUGCCCUACAGAUCUGUAUCUCUCAACCAUGGCCUACUGUAGCUCUCACACCUCAUCAGAGAAGGAACUCACACUUGGUCAAGCACAGAGAAUCAGGGUCAGUGGAGUGCUCAGCCACAUAUGGAACACAUCUAUAUCACACCCCCUCUAGUAGGUCCAGGAUCACCGUCGAUGAUGGAAUGGAAGGCUCCAAGAGCCAGAGAUCAAGGCGAAGAGAGCAAAAUGCUCUCUUCUGAGUCCUAUCAGUCAUGUGCUCCCAGCAGCUGGAGCUGCCUGUACAAAUCCAGCCAUUCACCGGUGUAGCACAGGUACCCACUCCUAACUGAGGAGUUGUGAACAGAUGAUGGUUUCUGGGGGAGGGAGAGGAUUUUAUUAAAGGAUGUGGCUCCUGGUAACAUGACCAUACUCUGGUAAUGCCUCACACCCAGGAGUAUAUAGAUGGGCAGCACAAAUUGCAGUGAAUGGGUUAUU